UCCCAGGUAGCUCAGUGGUAGAGCUAGCGGCUGUUAACCGCUCGGUCGGGGGUUCGAAUCCCUCCCUGGGAGCCA
Molecule: transfer RNA, 75 nt
Filed under: Alphaproteobacteria bacterium
Lineage: Bacteria; Pseudomonadati; Pseudomonadota; Alphaproteobacteria
Also listed under: 3 other names
Description: tRNA-Asn
Rfam family: tRNA
About the family: Transfer RNA (tRNA) molecules are approximately 80 nucleotides in length. Their secondary structure includes four short double-helical elements and three loops (D, anti-codon, and T loops).
Source: RNAcentral